RNAcentral lists this ribosomal RNA (452 nucleotides) under Streptomyces sp. EYN-4-1. Its description in RNAcentral is "bacterial SSU rRNA". It matches the Rfam family "Bacterial small subunit ribosomal RNA", at positions 60 to 528 of the family's 1533-position model. Lineage: Bacteria; Bacillati; Actinomycetota; Actinomycetes; Kitasatosporales; Streptomycetaceae. The record is from RNAcentral.
AGUCGAACGAUGAAGCCCUUCGGGGUGGAUUAGUGGCGAACGGGUGAGUAACACGUGGGCAAUCUGCCCUGCACUCUGGGACAAGCCCUGGAAACGGGGUCUAAUACCGGAUACGAGCCUCCUGGGCAUCUGGGAGGUUGGAAAGCUCCGGCGGUGCAGGAUGAGCCCGCGGCCUAUCAGCUUGUUGGUGAGGUAACGGCUCACCAAGGCGACGACGGGUAGCCGGCCUGAGAGGGCGACCGGCCACACUGGGACUGAGACACGGCCCAGACUCCUACGGGAGGCAGCAGUGGGGAAUAUUGCACAAUGGGCGCAAGCCUGAUGCAGCGACGCCGCGUGAGGGAUGACGGCCUUCGGGUUGUAAACCUCUUUCAGCAGGGAAGAAGCGAGAGUGACGGUACCUGCAGAAGAAGCGCCGGCUAACUACGUGCCAGCAGCCGCGGGUAAUUCCA